Molecule: long non-coding RNA, 545 nt
Filed under: Capra hircus (goat)
Lineage: Eukaryota; Metazoa; Chordata; Mammalia; Artiodactyla; Bovidae
Description: lncRNA (ENSCHIG00000007424.1)
Source: RNAcentral
AACAUUGCAUCCUGUUUCCGCCAAGGGCUCUGAGUGGAGCCCAGGGGUUGCCACAGCGGGCUGUGGCAGCUGGAUGGAAAGCCCAUCGGAAGCCUGGUAGGGGUGCCAGCCCACCACACAGAUGCUGCUCUCCUGCGAAGGAUUCUCUUAUUACUGGAAAAUGUCCUCAAUACCCAGGGAUCACUCAGCACAAGGUCAAGAGCUGACUGUCAGCAAGAAAGAAAAGCAGAGCAAAGAAAUGAAGACCAUGUGAAAGGAAAACAUUGCUUUCAAGGCUCUGCCUACAAGGUCCACAUGAAAGUAAGUAUAACAUUAAAAACUCUGGCUGCUAGAGCUAGGAUAGUGGAAGGUGCAAGAUAUUUGCUGGAGUGAUGCAGAGUCCAGAGGGAAAGUUGUCCCAAGAAAAAUCCAGGCGGGGGGAAAGACUCGGCACCAGGGUCAGAUUAUGAGGGUCAUUUAAUAUGUGAUCCUGAGCAAAUCAGAGUUCUUCUGGGCUUUAAAAGGAAGAUUCAAUAAUGGCACCUACUCCAUAAGGCUGUUGUGAG